AUCUUUCAAGUAUACAACGUUUGUACGUGUGACUUCCAAUCACUAAGUCCUGGUUAAAGUCCGGGGAAAGAUA
Molecule: transfer RNA, 73 nt
Filed under: Limnichthys fasciatus (barred sand burrower)
Lineage: Eukaryota; Metazoa; Chordata; Actinopteri; Acropomatiformes; Creediidae
Description: tRNA-Gly
Rfam family: tRNA
About the family: Transfer RNA (tRNA) molecules are approximately 80 nucleotides in length.
Source: RNAcentral